CCUACGGGGGGCUGCAGUGAGGAAUAUUGGUCAAUGGGCGCGAGCCUGAACCAGCCAAGUAGCGUGAAGGAUGACUGCCCUACGGGUUGUAAACUUCUUUUAUAAAGGAAUAAAGUGAGGCACGUGUGCCUUUUUGUAUGUACUUUAUGAAUAAGGAUCGGCUAACUCCGUGCCAGCAGCCGCGGUAAUACGGAGGAUCCGAGCGUUAUCCGGAUUUAUUGGGUUUAAAGGGUGCGCAGGCGGCGUGUCAAGUCAGCGGUAAAAUGUCGGGGCUCAACCCCGGCCGGCCGUUGAAACUGGCGUGAUCGAGUUGGAGAGAAGUAUGCGGAAUUCGUGGUGUAGCGGUGAAAUGCAUAGAUAUCACGAAGAACCCCGAUUGCGAAGGCAGCAUACCGGCUCCACACUGACGCUGAGGCACGAAAGCGUGGGUAUCGAACAGGAUUAGAUACCCCAGUAGUC
This 459-nucleotide ribosomal RNA is filed under the name uncultured bacterium. RNAcentral describes it as "partial 16S ribosomal RNA". It matches the Rfam family "Bacterial small subunit ribosomal RNA", at positions 338 to 795 of the family's 1533-position model. The record is from RNAcentral.